AUGGCCAGAUAUACUCCCGAGUCGUCCCCACGGGAGCCUCGGUCAGCUCGGACCUCGGACCCCCUCAUUCUGGAGAUAUACAGUCAGGCCACAAGCCAGCGAAUAAAUCACUCAAAAUCAACUAUAUAUUUCAGCAAAGGGGUGCCAGACAGUGUUAGGCAGGAGAUCAAGACUUUGCUUAAUGUGCCAAAUGAAACUUUGAAUGAAAAAUAUUUGGGGAUGCCAUCGGAUAUAGGAAGCUCAAAAGGGGCCUUCAAAUAUCUUAAGGACCGUCUUUGGAGCAAGGUA
RNAcentral lists this ribosomal RNA (288 nucleotides) under Triticum aestivum (bread wheat). RNAcentral describes it as "partial small subunit ribosomal RNA". The record is from RNAcentral. Lineage: Eukaryota; Viridiplantae; Streptophyta; Magnoliopsida; Poales; Poaceae.